UCGAAUGAGGCAAGACUACCCGCUGAACUUAAGCAUAUCACUAAGCGGAGGAGAAGAAACUAACCAGGAUGCCCUCAGUAAUGGCGAAUGAAGCGGGCGUAGCUCACGCUGCCAAUCCGGAGGCCUUUGCGCCCCCUGAAUUGUGGUCUAGAGAGGCGCCUUCGGGCGCGCGCGCCGCUCAAGUCCCUUGGAAGAGGGUAUCGGAGAGGGUGAGAAUCCCGUACCGUGGCCGCGCGCGCCCUCACGAUGCGUGCUCGUCGAGUCGGGUUGCUUGGGAUUGCAGCUUGAAGUGGGUGGUAAAUUCCAUCUAAAGCUAAAUAU
This 321-nucleotide ribosomal RNA is filed under the name Oxyrrhis marina. RNAcentral's name for it is "partial Eukaryotic large subunit ribosomal RNA". It matches the Rfam family "Eukaryotic large subunit ribosomal RNA", at positions 1 to 323 of the family's 3401-position model. Lineage: Eukaryota; Dinophyceae; Oxyrrhinales; Oxyrrhinaceae. The record is from RNAcentral.